AUCUCCCACCCACCCCUCGUAUCUCUGUAUAGCAACUAAGCUCUCUGCACUACCUAUCUUGUAAAAAUCAUUUUAUAUUAUGACAGUGUCACAGUUUAAGAUCAAAUGAACACAUGGAGAUUAAAUGGAUUUGAACAUUAAAACACUUUAAUCACAGCUCUUAUGACACAAUAUGGACUACUAAGGCCAGUUUUGGACUUUCCAUUACAAUAAGGAUUUUGACAUACUGAAGGGAGCCCAGCAAAGUCCCACCAAGGUGAUCAGGGAGCUGAAGCACAGGAAAGGCUAAAGGACCUGGGACUGGUCAGCUGGGAGAAGGCUACAGGGAGACCUUAUAGCAGUCUGCAACUACCUGAUCAGAAAAGAAAGAACUGAAUUCUUCUUGGAGGUGCACAGUAACAGGAAAAGAGGCAACAAAUAUAAGUUGGAACUUUGGAAGUUCUGAUUAGAGAGAUAUAUAUAUCUACCAUGAGGGUGACCAAAUAUUAGAAAAAGUUGCUCAGAGUGGCUGUGGAAUCUCUAGUCCUGGAGGUAUUCAAGACAAGAUUGGAUGGGGCCUUGAGCAAUCUGACCUAAUUACACCUGCUCUUAGCAAGGGUUUGCACUAGAUGAUCUGUGGAGGUCCGUUUCAACCUAAAUUAUUCUGUAGUUAAGCAAUGUAAACACUAGUGAAUAUAUGUAUGUGUAUAUAUAUUUAUAAAAUAUAAAUCAAAUUUACACAGAGAUGUACAUAUGAAUCUCCACAUAAAUCUCACAUUCAUAGAUGUUGGAAACACAGUUACCUGAAUAACUUCCACUUAGUUAUUUUAUGUAUAGGAAUUGUGAUACAGACUUUUCAUUUACAUACUCUUAUUGUUUUUCAAUAAUAAGUAAGUGUGUGUGAGACUCUCUUGUUCAUUUAUUCCUCCUCUGCAUUACAACAGCAUGCAUGGAAAACUCAAGACUAUUGUCAAAGUCUGCACCUGGUCCAAAUAUUCUUCAGUCUACUAAUGGUCUUUAAAUGCUUAAUGCAAAAUUUUCUAUCCUUCCCUUCCUACAUGGUUUGGUCAUAGGUGGAGACAUGGAGUUAAACUGAAAGAGAAAUCAUUCCUGUAAAGGGUUGUGCCUCCUUUCUCAACUUGGGAACAGGCCAGUCUUUAAUAGCAUCCAUCUGUCUGAGCUCUGACUUAAUGUAGGUGCCUACCAAUUUAUUGCACAGAUAAACUGUUUCUGCAAUAUUCACUUUACACUUCACCACCUUUACACACA
This is a long non-coding RNA of Athene cunicularia (burrowing owl), 1248 nucleotides long. RefSeq lists it as uncharacterized. Lineage: Eukaryota; Metazoa; Chordata; Aves; Strigiformes; Strigidae. The transcript has 3 exons. The record is from RefSeq and is a predicted model, not a curated record.